RNAcentral lists this ribosomal RNA (253 nucleotides) under uncultured bacterium. RNAcentral describes it as "partial 16S ribosomal RNA". It matches the Rfam family "Bacterial small subunit ribosomal RNA", at positions 524 to 776 of the family's 1533-position model. The record is from RNAcentral.
GACGUAGGGCGCAAGCGUUGUCCGGAUUUAUUGGGCGUAAAGAGCUCGUAGGCGGCUUGUUGCGUCGUCCGUGAAAUCCCUCAGCUUAACUGGGGAACUGCGUCUGAUACUGAGUGGCUUGAGUGCAGGAGAGGAAUGCGGAAUUCCAGGUGUAGCGGUGAAAUGCGUAGAUAUCUGGAGGAACACCGGUGGCGAAGGCGGCAUUCUGGACUGUAACUGACACUGAGGAACGAAAGCCAGGGGAGCAAACGGG